RNAcentral lists this ribosomal RNA (510 nucleotides) under Ruegeria sp. RNAcentral describes it as "bacterial SSU rRNA". It matches the Rfam family "Bacterial small subunit ribosomal RNA", at positions 379 to 907 of the family's 1533-position model. The record is from RNAcentral. Lineage: Bacteria; Pseudomonadati; Pseudomonadota; Alphaproteobacteria; Rhodobacterales; Roseobacteraceae.
GCACCUGAUCCAGCCAUGCCGCGUGAGUGAUGAAGGCCCUAGGGUCGUAAAGCUCUUUCGCCUGUGAAGAUAAUGACUGUAGCAGGUAAAGAAACCCCGGCUAACUCCGUGCCAGCAGCCGCGGUAAUACGGAGGGGGUUAGCGUUGUUCGGAAUUACUGGGCGUAAAGCGCGCGUAGGCGGACUGGAAAGUUGGGGGUGAAAUCCCAGGGCUCAACCCUGGAACUGCCUCCAAAACUAUCAGUCUAGAGUUCGAGAGAGGUGAGUGGAAUUCCGAGUGUAGAGGUGAAAUUCGUAGAUAUUCGGAGGAACACCAGUGGCGAAGGCGGCUCACUGGCUCGAUACUGACGCUGAGGUGCGAAAGUGUGGGGAGCAAACAGGAUUAGAUACCCUGGUAGUCCACACCGUAAACGAUGAAUGCCAGUCGUCGGGUAGCAUGCUAUUCGGUGACACACCUAACGGAUUAAGCAUUCCGCCUGGGGAGUACGGUCGCAAGAUUAAAACUCAAAUG